UUUUUGACUCAUCAACUGCUUUCGAGCUCCAUUGACCAGAUGGCUAUGCUGAGUUCAUUCAACUCUUCCAGGAAGACAUUAGCAUUUGACAUAUAGAUUCAUCACAGACCACCAUUAAAGGGCUUAACAUCCUUUCACAGGUCCUCACAGACAGAGCCUGCCACACGACACUGCGCAGAGCCUCAUUGAUCAGUGGCAACAUCUUACACAUACAAAGCUGCAUCCCAAAUAAAAGUACGUUUCAAGGUC
Amblyraja radiata (thorny skate) is the source of this 249-nucleotide long non-coding RNA. RefSeq lists it as uncharacterized. The transcript is spliced from 2 exons. Lineage: Eukaryota; Metazoa; Chordata; Chondrichthyes; Rajiformes; Rajidae. The record is from RefSeq and is a predicted model, not a curated record.